Molecule: long non-coding RNA, 366 nt
Filed under: Gossypium barbadense (sea-island cotton)
Lineage: Eukaryota; Viridiplantae; Streptophyta; Magnoliopsida; Malvales; Malvaceae
Description: long non-coding RNA (GBAR_LNC019614)
Source: RNAcentral
AAAAAAUAGAUUUAAGAAGAUAAUAGAGAAAAAUAAAAAAACAAAAUCACCUUCCGAUUUAUGUUUUCGUUCCUUGUUUCCCUUUUUUUUGUAUUUUCCUCUGCUUUUUGUAUUCGAUGUAUGCUAUUUGUUGUUUGAAUCUAGUGCUGAUAUUGUUAUUCCGAAAUGGUUAAAUUUGCUUCUCUUUUUUUCAAUCCCCCUUUACAAUUGUUUAUUUCUCAGCUUUAUAGCCGACUACAAAACUAGGAAAAUAUUAUUUAUUUUUUGUCCUAUUCUAUUUGGUCUGCUUCUGUCUUUGCAGGGUAUGGAGGUGUCAGGGAAGUGGAGGAGAAGCAUGCGGUGGCAGACGGUAUGGGAGUGACCAGG